Molecule: unclassified non-coding RNA, 1630 nt
Filed under: Hevea brasiliensis (rubber tree)
Lineage: Eukaryota; Viridiplantae; Streptophyta; Magnoliopsida; Malpighiales; Euphorbiaceae
Source: RNAcentral
CCACCAGAACCAGGAGCUCUCAUAAAAAUAUUAUACUACCAUAUCUGCAACACGAUCAAAUUCCUCACUUCUUUCUUUUCGAGUGAUUGAAAAUUAUAUGACAAUGGUUGCAUCAGUGGAGGAGAUCAGAAAGGCCCAGAGAGCCCAGGGUCCUGCCACCGUCCUCGCCAUUGGCACUGCCACUCCCUCUAACUGUGUCAACCAGGCUGAUUACCCUGAUUAUUACUUCAGGAUCACCAAGAGUGAGCACAUGACCGAGUUGAAAGAAAAGUUCAAGCGCAUGUGUGACAAAUCCAUGAUCAAGAAACGUUACAUGCAUUUAAAUGAAGAAAUCUUGAAAGAGAAUCCUAACAUGUGCGCUUAUUGGGAACCAUCUCUUGAUGCUCGCCAAGACAUUGUCGUGGUGGAGGUUCCAAAGUUAGGAAAGGAAGCAGCAACUAAGGCCAUCAAAGAAUGGGGCCAACCCAAAUCUAAGAUUACCCACCUCAUUUUCUGCACAACUUCUGGUGUUGACAUGCCUGGUUGUGACUACCAGCUCACUAAGCUCCUUGGUCUCCGUCCAUCUGUCAAGCGAUUUAUGAUGUAUCAGCAGGGCUGCUUUGCCGGCGGGACGGUCCUCCGUCUAGCCAAGGACUUGGCUGAAAACAAUAAGGGUGCUCGAGUUCUUGUUGUGUGCUCUGAGAUCACUGCUGUCACUUUCCGUGGUCCUUCUGACACCCACUUGGAUUCCUUAGUAGGUCAAGCUCUUUUCGGUGAUGGAGCUGGAGCUUUAAUUGUUGGAUCUGAUCCUGAUACUUCCAUCGAGCGUCCAUUAUUUCAGCUUGUCUCUGCAGCACAAACAAUCCUUCCUGACUCUGACGGCGCUAUUGAUGGACACUUACGUGAAGUGGGUCUCACCUUUCACUUACUCAAAGACGUUCCAGGGUUGAUUUCGAAGAACAUAGAGAAAAGCUUGGUGGAAGCAUUUAGUCCAAUUGGUAUCAGCGAUUGGAACUCCAUAUUUUGGAUAGCUCACCCAGGUGGUCCAGCUAUUCUCGACCAGGUUGAAGAGAAACUGAAUCUAAAACCUGAAAAAAUGAGAGCAACCAGACAUGUUCUGAGCGAGUAUGGAAACAUGUCAAGUGCUUGUGUGUUAUUUAUCCUGGACGAGAUGAGAAAGAAGUCUCUGGAGGAAGGGAAGGUCACAACCGGAGAAGGGUUGGAGUGGGGCGUUUUGUUCGGGUUUGGGCCUGGCCUAACGGUGGAGACUGUCGUGCUACAUAGCGUCCCCACAGAGAGGGCAGCUCAUUGAGUUAAUUACUUGCAAGAGGCGGAGUAGGGACAAGACUUGCUGGAUUUUGUGGUAGGGCAACUGAGGGUAGAAAUGGAAAAAUAUUUUAUAAUAAGAAGAAGACUCAAGACUAGUCGCUUUGGUAAUUGCAAGCCUGGAGUAAGACUGUAAUAAAAUUUGUUUAUAUUUUAUGGAUAAUUAUUAGAUGGAUCGAAAAUAUUAAAAAAUAAUAUUUUCUCUCUCAUAAAAAAGUGAGUUAUUUUUAUAAUAUAGAAAAUAAAUUUUAAGAAAUUAUAUAAAUGCACUAAGUGCACUUAAUAAUAUUUUAUAUUUUAUUAUGCUCUUAAAUGUAAGUCUCCG